This 253-nucleotide ribosomal RNA is filed under the name uncultured bacterium. RNAcentral's name for it is "partial 16S ribosomal RNA". It matches the Rfam family "Bacterial small subunit ribosomal RNA", at positions 524 to 776 of the family's 1533-position model. The record is from RNAcentral.
UACGAAGGGGGCGAGCGUUGUCCGGAAUUAUUGGGCGUAAAGGGCGCGUAGGCGGUUUGUCGCGUCGGGUGUGAAAACCUUGGGCUUAACUCAGGGCUUGCUUUCGAUACGGGCAGACUAGAGGUAUGCAGGGGAGAACGGAAUUCCUGGUGUAGCGGUGAAAUGCGCAGAUAUCAGGAGGAACACCGGUGGCGAAGGCGGUUCUCUGGGCAUGAUCUGACGCUGAGGAGCGAAAGUGUGGGGAGCGAACAGG